UUUUAAAAAAAAAAAAAAUCCCAACUAAACCCUACCCUUAACAAUCCUUUAUCAACCAGCAUGACACCUGCUUAAUUGGAUACAAGUAAUAGUUUUUAACAGCUUGAGAGAUUGCUAGAAAGGCAUUCUCACCUUCUCUAAGCAAUGUGAGAGAUGUGGUUACUUCACAUUCUGAUCUUGGAGGUGUUUGUGCAUUUCAAUGGCAGGAUAAUGAAAAACUUCAUUCGCUAUUGGAACAAAAUGGAAUCUAGUGUGGCAGUAUAGAAUCUGUCCAGAAAAGGGCUUUCGUAUUAUCUAAUUAGCCUGGUUGUUCUAGUGAACGUUGAGUUUACUCGCAGUUUUUUUGUUUGGGGAUUCCACAAGAAGUUGAAAAAAAAAUGUUGAAGAGAUAUGUCCUGAUAUUUUCAAUUUGUUUUGUGCUAAGUAAAAAAUUAGCAUUCAGAGUCUAUGGAGUGAAAAUGAUAGCAAUGAAACUCCAUCUUUCAAGUGAUUCCUUGAUAGUUAUCCUUUUCCCUAAUAUUUUUUCAGAUUGCAGAACUGUUAAUAUGGUCUUCCUUUACAAAUAAUAACUGCUUUGUGACAAACUAUGUAUAACAUUAGAUUGGCCAUGCACAUAAAACACAAAUUUCCUCUGACAAAAACAGAAACGCAAAACAGACUUAUAUUCCAUAUUGUUGACGGUUUUUUCACCCCACUUUGGGAACUUUACUAUAUUUGUUUGGCUUUGGCUAAUUUUUUCUAUCAUUUGCAUGGUUUUAUUCAGGUAUGAUUACUCGGGCUACGGACAAUCAAGUGGAAAGGUUAGAUUCCAAGUUUCCUCGUCGUAGUUCUUAAUGAUUGACCGGAAGCUUUAUGCUAUAUUCGCUUUACCAAAUUCAUGUGCCUUUUUGAAUAUCCAUCUUUUAUCACAUACUUAGAUGUCUUUGUUUUGUUAUGCUCUUCACAAUUCAGAGGUUUUAAUAAAAAAUUAAAUCAUAUAGAAUUAGUUUAUUUUACAUGGAAUCAUUGACUUGAUAUGCUAUGUAGAUGCAUAUCAUAUGCAAAUAUUACUACACAUUAUCACAUGUAGUAUUAAUGGAACCUACCCAAUUUCUCCCUCUCUCUCUCUCUCUC
RNAcentral lists this unclassified non-coding RNA (1113 nucleotides) under Hevea brasiliensis (rubber tree). Lineage: Eukaryota; Viridiplantae; Streptophyta; Magnoliopsida; Malpighiales; Euphorbiaceae. The record is from RNAcentral.